UGUUGUGGAGAGAUGUAUCGGGGUAUUGAAAAGCAAGUUCCGCUGCUUGCAGCACUUUCGGACACUGCUAUACAGCCCCGAUAGAGCAGCGCGAAUCAUUUAUGCAUGCGUUGCUCUCCAUAACAUUGCCUAGGACGCGGGUGACUGGACAUUGGAUGAUUAUGGUGGGGAAUUGCCACCAGCUGAGGAGCCAGGAGACAUCCAGGUGCUGGCACCGCACGACGUGUUCCUCAGAGGAAGGCAGCAGAGCAGCGCCGUUGUCAACCUUUUCUGAAGGACACAGGAAUGGUGCGCAGCGAUGUCUUGCGCUAUGGCACGCACCUGCUCCAGGAUCCCCUCCUGAGCUGCUGCCGUCCGCUCUGCCGCGACAGCGAGGCGGGUGGUGGAAGCUUCGAUUCUCCGCAGCACCUGGAAUGAAUAAUCAUGGUGGAACUGUUCGCAUGAGUUGCUGGUUACUCGCAACCAGCUUACGGCUGGAAGCUGCUGUUGUCAAGAAUUGCAACGUGCACAACGAUUCCCUCUCUGUUGAAGAGCCACUGGCCUGAUGGCAUCCUUUGGCAGUGUCAAGCGUCGUGUACAAGCUAUGCCCUCUUUGUUUGGACAGACAAACACCUGCUGGAACUACUCUUCCGUCAUCUACUCAAAUGCAUCUCUCACCACCAAACAGCCCUUUUCAGGGCUAACCAACCUUUUGCCCGGCGGCUGAUCUUUGGCAAGACACGAUACCGAGCCCUCUAUACAACGCAUAUUUCUUGUUUA
Molecule: long non-coding RNA, 759 nt
Filed under: Dermacentor andersoni
Lineage: Eukaryota; Metazoa; Arthropoda; Arachnida; Ixodida; Ixodidae
Description: uncharacterized LOC126518582
Source: RNAcentral